AUUGAACGCUGGCGGCAGGCCUAACACAUGCAAGUCGAGCGGAUGAAGGGAGCUUGCGCCUGGAUUCAGCGGCGGACGGGUGAGUAAUGCCUAGGAAUCUGCCUGGUAGUGGGGGAUAACGUCCGGAAACGGGCGCUAAUACCGCAUACGUCCUGAGGGAGAAAGUGGGGGAUCUUAGGACCUCACGCUAUCAGAUGAGCCUAGGUCGGAUUAGCUAGUUGGUGGGGUAAAGGACUACCAAGGCGACGAUCCGUAACUGGUCUGAGAGGAUGAUCAGUCACUCUGGAACUGCGACACGGUCCAUACUCCUACGGGAGGCAGCAGCGGCGAAUAUUGGACAACGGUCGAAAGCCUGAUCCAGCCAUGCCGCGUGUGUGAAGAAGGUCUUCGGAUUGUAAAGCACUUUAAGUUGGGAGGAAGGGCAGUAAGUUAAUACCUUGCUGUUUUGACGUUACCAACAGAAUAAGCACCGGCUAACUUCGUG
RNAcentral lists this ribosomal RNA (484 nucleotides) under uncultured bacterium. Its description in RNAcentral is "partial 16S ribosomal RNA". It matches the Rfam family "Bacterial small subunit ribosomal RNA", at positions 30 to 507 of the family's 1533-position model. The record is from RNAcentral.